GUCUAUGGCCAUGCCGCCCUGUACAAGCCCAAAUCCCGUCUAAUCUCAGAAGCUAAGCAGGAUCGUGCCUGGUUAGUACUUGGAUAGGAGACCACCUAGGAAGACCAGGUGCUAUAGGCA
Pteropus alecto (black flying fox) is the source of this 120-nucleotide non-coding RNA. Lineage: Eukaryota; Metazoa; Chordata; Mammalia; Chiroptera; Pteropodidae. The record is from Rfam.